GACAGAGGGUGCAAACGUUGUUCGGAAUUACUGGGCGUAAAGGGCGCGUAGGCGGCCUUCUAAGUCGAACGUGAAAUCCCUGGGCUCAACCCAGGAACUGCGUCCGAUACUGGAAGGCUUGAAUCCGGGAGAGGGAUGCGGAAUUCCAGGUGUAGCGGUGAAAUGCGUAGAUAUUCGGAAGAACACCAGUGGCGAAGGCGGCUCACUGGACUGGUAUUGACGCUGAGGUGCGAAAGCGUGGGGAGCAAACAGG
This 253-nucleotide ribosomal RNA is filed under the name uncultured bacterium. Its description in RNAcentral is "partial 16S ribosomal RNA". It matches the Rfam family "Bacterial small subunit ribosomal RNA", at positions 524 to 776 of the family's 1533-position model. The record is from RNAcentral.